UGUCUUUAUCCCGAAAGCAUGCUGAUCAUGAGCAGAAAGCUCAAUUCAAAAAUAAUUUGCAUGUACUUAUAUGUAAUGCACCAUGAAAUAUUAAAAGUAGAGGCUAGAAGUUUUGUUUAUUGUAGUAUAGAAUUGGAGUCUUUUGACAAAGGACAUCAUUGAAUCACCAUUUCUAUUCCUAACAGUACCACCAAUGCCAGCCUGCUGGUUAACAUAGUUUCUUCUCUCAUCAGUGUUUACCUUAAUUCAGUUAUUUGAAGGUUUGAUCCAAGUGACAAAAUAAAAGUGAAAACAAGUUUGUAUUUCUCUAAGGGAAAAGAUUAUGCCAGUUCCAUUUGAAAUCCACCUCAACCCCUAUAUUACUCAUGUGAAAUUUAAUAUUGAAAAGCACUUUCCAAGAUAUUCUAUAACUGGUAGAAGCAUUUUUUACCAUAUAUAGAGGCACAUCUAGCUUUAUAAAUUACCCAAUAGAUAGAAAUUGGAAUAAUUUGAUGUAAAUUUUUGUCAAAUUGCUACAAAAAUUAAUAGAAUUGUUUUGGAAUUCCCUUAAAAAUCCAUAAUAUUUGCCCUUUACAUGAGCACUAUGUAGUGAACACUUUAUGGUAACUUACUUAUUGUUCAAUAGGUGGCAAACCACAUUAGAUAUUGAAACCAUACUAGUCAAACCCCAUUCGACAAGCUCAAGACGAUGUGAUAGAUAAAGGCUGGAUUCGAUCCUAGAUUUCCAUAUGGCACAUAGAGAUACACCAAGAUUAGCAAAGUAGUAAUUCCACACAGCUUUGACUAUCUCUGUUUCAAGUGUAAAUAUGACUAAUAGUCUCUUCCUUCUAAUUAUUACUAUAAAAACAUAGUGACACAUUUUUUAUACCUAAUCUGGAUAUGAUAUUAUAAAUAGGGAUUUUCCUAUUUAAAAUUCUCCAUAGAGUAUGGGGUAUUUCAGAGGAACAUACCUAGGCCAAGUGUUAGUAUACAUAUUGCUUAUUGUUGAGAUGAGCACUAAUCUUUUUCAUUCUUUUAUCAGUAGAUAUGAUGAACAGUAGGUCCAAUGAAACCUGACCUGUAUCUCCUACAUCAACCAUUCCAGUAGUGGAGCUACUCGAAAAAGGAAUAGAAUAAAUGAGAGUAAGAGAUACGGUAAGAAGGAUAAUCCAUACCCUCUAUGGGUGAAGAUCAAGUAAUGGUUGUCAAAAAAUCACAAGAGGUCUGUAUCACCUCUUCUACCUCAUGAUUAUUUGUAAGAGAUAAAAUUAGUAGAAGAAUAGGGUAUGGUACCCGAGGUAAUGAUUUAAUAUGGGGUUGAGGGACUACGCUAUAUGUCUACUGUGGUUGUUUAACAAGUGUUAGCAUUUAUUAGUGGGUUGUUGGAACUAGAGCCUCACCUGUGGUAUCAGCUUAUCAGGAUCUAGUUGUUCAUCUUAUAAUCUCUAUGGCUCCUAUAGUGGAUGAAGCUUUUGGGACCAAUUUUUUUCCUCAUUUGAUAUUGGGUUUGGUGAUUACUGGUAUAGAAUAUGAAUUGCCAAUAAGAUUUCAAAAUAUAAAACCUCCAAUAUUCCUGGGUACUAAGUUCGAGGUAGCCUUUGAGUUUAUUAUUGAUCGCUAUACGAGGUUACAUAGAAUAGAGUGUUAUUUAUGUAUCUAUCUUAUUUGUGGUGGGUCUAAAUCUAGUCUGUUAUGUACGUGAUUAUCUUGUUUAUGUAUCUACUUCUAUGGAUGAGUCUGUGGCAGUUAGCUAUAUUUGUCGUUCAUGUCUUUUAUUAUUUAUGGGUUUUAAGAGUUUGGUAGACUUGGUUAUUUUUAAUAUGUUGGACUUUAAUAUUGUUUUAGGUAUGACCUGAUUAUCUCCAUACUAUGCAAUUUUAAACUAUAGUGCUAAAAUAGUGACUCUGUCUAUGCUUAAGAUGAUGGAACUAAAGUGGGAGGGAGUGUAAAAGUCCAAACCAAUAAAGAUUAUAUCUUAUGUCUAGGCUAGUAUGAUAGUGGGAAAGGGAUGUUCAACAUCGUUAGCUCAUCUUUGGGAUGUAGACGCGGGGUCACCUUCUAUAGAGUGAGUUUUAGUAGUCUCCAAUUUUUGGAUAUAUUUCCUUCAGACCUACCAUGUGUGCCUCUAUAUGGGUAUAUAAAUUAUUACAUUGACUUGGAGUCGGGUACUUGCCCUAUUUUUAUUUUACAUUAUCGGAUGGCUCCAAUAGAGUUGAGGGAGCUCAAAAGUUAGCUACAGGAGCUACAUGACAAAGGUUUUAUUCAUCUAAGUGAUUCACCAUUUGAUCCUAUUUGUCAAGAAAAAGAAUGGUAGAUUGAGGAUGUAAAUUAAUUAUAGGCAUCUAAAUAAGGUUACAAUCAUAAACAAAUAUUCUUUUUCUUACAUAGAUGACUUGCUUGAUCAAUUACAACGUACACCAGUGUUCCCAAAAAUUAAUUUGAGGUUGGGCUAUCAUGAGUUGAAGAUUAGGCAGAGAACAUAUGAAGAUAGCUUUUAGAAUUCGAUAUUGUUAUUAUAAAUUUUUGGUGAUGUCUUUGGGGAUGACUAAUGCACCUGCAAACUUUAUAAGUUUAAUGAAUGGGAUCUUUUAGUCGUUCUUGGAUUUUCUUGUUAUUAUGUUUAUUGAUGAUAUUAUUGUGUACUUAAGAGUAAAGAAGAGAAUGCAAGCCAUCUUCACAUAGUUUUGGAGAUUCUAAGGGAGAAAUAGUUACUUGAUAAGUUGUCUUAGUGUGAAUUCUAGUUGUCUUCAGUUGCCUUUCUUAGGGCAUAUGGUUUUUGAAAAAGAGGUGAUGGUGGAUCCCAGAAGAUUGAGGCAGUGACGAAUUGGAAUGGACCUAGUUUAGUGAAUGAGCUAAAAUGUGUUGUGGUUCUUGCUAGUUAUUAUUGCAGAUUUGUCAAGAACAUUGCAUCCAUUGCAAUGCUCUUGACAAUAUUGAAUCAAAAUAAAGUGCCAUUUGUUUAGUUAGAAUAAUGUGAAAAGAGUUUCAAAAGCUCACAAAACUCUUUACUAUAACACUUAUUCUUUCAUUGCAAGUUGAAGGUAAGGGCUUCUACAGUGUUUUGUAAUGCCUCAAUUUUAGGUUUAGAUGUUGUUUUAAUGUAGGAUAGGAAUGUCAUUGCUUAUUCUUUGAGGCAUUUGAAGCCUCAUGUAAGGAACUAUCCAACCUAUGACUUAGAGUUGGAAAAAAUGGUGUUUAAAUUAAAGAUUUGGAGAUAUCAUAUCUACGAUUUCAAGUGUGUGAUCUUAAUAAAUUAUCGUAAACUACAACACGUGUUUACUUAAAUAAUGGAGGUGGAUUGAAUUGUUGAAGGAUUAUGAUAUGAGUAUUUAGUAUCAUCUGAGUAAGGGCAAUAUGGUGGCAUACACAUUGAGACAAAAAACUAUAAGUAUGGGUAGUUUAUCCAUUUUGAGGGUACCUAGAUGACCAUUAUCUAGAGAGUUUCAAAAUCUAAUAUCUCUAAGCAAGCAAUUUGAGUCGAGGAUAUGGGUGAUGUAUUGCCUAGUGUUGAGGUAAAUUCAAUAUUCGUAGAGCAUGUUAAAGCCAAGAAAUUUGAGGAUAAGAAGUUGAAUACGCUCUAAUAUAAAUUUAUGUGCAAAGAGGUGGCAAUACGCCAAUCUUGAUAUGGGAGGGGUGUUGAGGUUUAAAGGAACAUUACGUGUUCCUUAGAUUAUUUAUGAUGUACUUUCAGAGGUCAGAGGCUCUCAUUGUUCUAUUCAUCCGCGUAUAACCAAGAUGUAUUGUGACUUGAGAAUGCUUUACUAGUUAUUUAAGAUGAAAAGGGACAUAGUGGAUUAUAUGCCCAAAGUGUCAAAUUAUUAUCAAGAAAGGUAUGAGCAUCAAAAGCCUAUGGGGUUGCUUCAGAAAAUCCCUUUACCCAUAUAGAAGUAGGAUCAUAUCUCUAUGGACUUUGUGGUGACCUUCCAAAUACUUUGGGGAGGUAUGAAUCCAUUUGGUUUAUAGUAGAUUGGAUGAUAAAGUUCGCUCACUUUUUACUAAUUCGGGUAGACUAUAGCUCUCAACAGAUAGCUAAUAUUUAAGUCAAAGAGAUUGUGAGACUUCAAGAGUUUCCACUUACUAUCAUUUUAGCUAAUAUUUAAGUCAAAGAGAUUGUGAGACUUCAAGAGUUUCCACUUACUAUCAUUUCUUACAAAGAUUCAAAGUACACUUCUAUGUUUUUGGGCAGUUUGCAUAAAUAUUCGGACAGCAAGAUCAAGUUUAGCAUAAAUUCACUCUUAAAGUAAUGGAAAGCCUGAGAGGUUGAUUCAAGUGCUAUAAGAUAUAUUUAGGACGUGUGUGAUUGAUUUGGUGGUCAUUGGGACCAGUUUUUUUUUUGUUGUGUGAGUUUUCAUGAAUUGAGGGAUAUGUACUCCAAAUUGAGGGAUAUGUACUCCAAAGUUGGUGAGAAAUUUUUUCUUAAGGUGUCUCCUAUGAAGUGAAUCAUGAGGUUGGUAAGAGGGGAAAACUCUGCCCUCGGUAUAUAUUUUGCUUUGAGGUUCUUGAAAAAGUGGAUCCAAGUGCUUAUUGGUUAGCUCUUACCACUGGAGUUUCAUGAAGUGUAUUUGGUUUUUUAUAUUUCAAUACUGAAAAGGUAUCGUGGGGAUGGAGACUACAUCAUUAAGUGGCAGUCAAUGCUUCUAGAUAAUGAUUGGUCUUAUAAGGAAGAACUAGUAGUGAUUCUAGAUUAGGAUGUUCAAUAAUUGAGGAUGAAGGAUAUUUAUUGAUGAAGGUGAAAUAAAAUCAUUGUCAAGUUGAUGAAGCAACUUAGGAGACCAAGAAGGACAUGUGGGAUAAGCACCCUCAAUUGUUUGAGGAUACAUGUACUCUUCUUCUUCCUUGUUUAGCCAAUAUUUCUCAUCUGAUCAUUCAGGGAUGACUGGCAUGUAAAUUUGUAUAUAUUGUAACAACCCUCUCUGUCAUUACAUAUGAGUCCUACGUUUAAAAUUCCAUGUCUGAAUUCUUCCCAAUUUAGAAGUUACAAAUUUCAGGCUAGGCUAGUUCUAAUCAAUUUCGGAGCAAGGUGUGACAUAGAAAAAUAUGAGAAUUAUUCCGACCAGUGUAGUUGUAUUUGUCUUGAUUUCUAGUUAUAUAAAACAAUAAGGAACCCAUAAUAAUUUAUGGAAUAGAAUAUGGGUAAGUAAAACUCAAAAUUGGUCUCAGCGUAUGCACUAUUUGGAAUAUUUUUGGUUUAAGGUGUGUUGCAAAAACUAAGAUUUUUGGGUGAAGAAAGACAUUCUAACUGUCAACGCCACUAUAGCGAUCGACAUACUGCAAUAGUGGCAAGUGCCAUAGCAGAGAAGAUCUCACUAUAGUGACGGUCAAGGACUUUAUUAAAUUGCUAAUUUAGUAAAAUAUUUUUUCAAAAUAGUUUAUUUUUCUAAAACUCAUUUUGAGGCAUGGGAAGGGGUAACAAAAUUCCAUUUUUUUUGUCUUAGUUAAGGUAAAUAAUUCAUACCUGUUAACUCGUAUUUAAUUAUUAUGCCUCAAAAUUAUUAAUUUAGGGUUCAACGAAGGUGUUAUGGCAAACUUUGGUUAAUUACUAGUACAAGGGUGAAAAUUUAGGAAUAAGCUAAUGUGGUUUGAUUAUUAAAUUUAAUUUACCCUGCAUUCUAUUAAUUCUCUAAUUUAUCCAUAAAAAUGAUAGUUUUAGGUUAAUUACGAUGGACAAGCCCUGGAACAAGACGAGAAUGAUUAUAAACUUGACCUUAGGUGUUGGAUAUGAGUUAUAAAUGCCUAUAUAUUAGGUCAUUUCUUUAAUUAUGUAUUUAUAUGCAUGUUCUAGACCUUGAGCAAACAAAAAUUGCAUGGAAGGGCAAAGCUUCAGAAUAGAAGAGUUGUGCAAGCUUGAUUCGAGGUAGGUGAUGGUAUUGUAGCUUAAUCCAAUUUAUGCUAUAUCUGCACGUUAACUACUUUGAAGUAUGACUUAUUAGUUCUUGUUGUUUGAUGUGGUCUUUGCAAAUGAUUUGUGGUUGUUAUAUGAUUUUUAUCUAAAUAUGGAAUGUUUGUUAUUUAGAACAUCCUCAUGGGCUUUUGAUGCACCAAGGUUGGCAGACACAUUUGUUCAGGAUUUUAGUACAUGGACGACAAUUGUCCCUUACAUGUCAUGGCUAAAGGGUGGUUGAAUAUCCGUUAAUAUGUAUGUACGAGGGUAAGGUUAGUUUAACGGUCUCUAAACCGAGAAUAUAUAUUUUUAUACUUAAUAAAUAGUCCUGAAUUAUUUUUGGCUUGGUUGACUCAACUUCACUAGGUGAUAAUUUGUUGACUUGCUCGUUUGAUUCCUAAUUGUUCAUUGUUGCUUGUUAUGCUAAGUGAAUGUUGUUUAAGCAUGGAUUUACUUGUUGUACUAUAACUUAGUUAUAUGUUCAUAUUCUCAUUUUUUAUUGUCCAAAUGACCCUUCCAGUACACUUUUGUUCUUGUGUACAGAUACUACACCUACAUUUAAAUUUGUGAGUGAAACACAUGUUACAGUGGAUCCUACGAGACCUCACUUGUGAUUCCAGAAGUUGACUCCAAAUUAUAGGGAGAGAAGCAAUCUGGGCUACCAUGAAAUCUUUUCUAGCAUUGUUUUUAGUUCUGAACUUAAAUUUUAUUUUAGUUUGGGAUGCAUCACCUUCAUGAUAUUCUUAGAUAUUUUGGUGCAGAUAGCUUUCGGAUCCUAGGGAUGGUUUUUGCAUAAGUGCCUUUCCACCUUUAAUUGUACUUAUUAUUUGGUUUUAGAUUGGAUGAUAUAUCGAUGGAUUAGUUUCACUUAUUUGUUCUAAGUGCGGUUUAUGAGAUUGUCGUUCGGGAUAGUUAGUUCUCCCAUCAAAUGAUUAGCAUGGCUGCCACUCACGAUGGGUUUGGAUCGUGGCAUUUCUUGUUUAUGAAAAUGACUCUAAGUGUCUGUUUUUGAAACACUUUCUAUUAUCGUCAUCAGGUAUGGCAAUUUGUUAGAACCGAAAGAAAUUGUCAUCACAAUAUAAGAAAAUUAUGAGAUUAUAAAGUAUCUUUAGUGAUUAUUAUCCGUUAUUUAGCUGUAUAUUUGUCUGCUGCAAACACUUACAUAAAGUCCCAUGAUAGAGUCAUCAAUAUAGACCGUUUGAAUGAUUUUUGAAAGGUGGUUAAUUAUUGUGAAGUGAUUGUUACGACUUUUAAAGAAAAUAAGUACACGUGGUCAAAUCAAUGGACAUCUUAAAAAUAAAGACAAAUUCACUUUUGAAAGAUUGGAUCAUUUCUUGGAAUACACUAAGUGGUUUUAAAUUUCUUGAGAACAAGUACACUAUCUUUCAUGUACAAGUUAUAUCAAUGACUGUUUUCAAUAUCUCUCUUUCAUAAUCAUAGAAAAGUACAAUUUUGUCAUUUUGAGUCAAUAUGAUCCUAACAUCUUGAUCUUAAAUGCAUCAUUAACAACUUACAGAAUAACAAAUAAUCGCUAGAUGAUAUUUCUUUUUUUGUGUCUAAAAAUUAUUUUUUUUUUAAAUUUUCAUCCAUUCGUGCAAGGUAAUCUCUCGUAGUGAUGUGGGGAUGGGGGUGUUGGGGGGAGGGUGUUGGAUAAUCAAAAGGCUAGUUUAGGCUCAUUUAUUAAAAAAAAAAAAUUCACUUUAAACAUUAUUUUUUAAUCCCAAAAAAAUUCUAUAAAUACCCUACACCUUCAAAUCAUAUUUCAAACAAUUUUUCACUUUCUCAAAUCUCAUUCUCUCUCAAAUCUCAAUCCUCAAUUCUCAAAUAUUCAAUAUAUUUAAUUUCUUAAAGUGUUCAUCUUAAUUUUUUAAUUUUUCGUUUACAAAGUACGAGCGGAUGUUUCUAAAGUCGCAACUUUCGGAUACUUCUAAAAUUUGGUAUUGUCGUUUCAUCUCUUACGUUUAAUUUUUAUUUAUUGUAUUAAUUGUUUAAUAUUUAAUUUUAUUAUAUUUGUGUAUUUUGAAUUUUUUUAGUUUAAUUUAAUUUAUAUUAUGGAUAAAUUAAGAAACCUCGCUACUAAAGGUGUUAAAAUUUUUUGUCCCGGAAGCGGUAGUAGUAGUAAAAAGCAAAUUACUAGCGGUAGAGGUAGUUCAAGUAAUAGAUAUACCUGUGUGCCUCCGACACCUCUUAGUCAUCCUUUUGAGGAAGAAGUAGGCGUACCUUUAGGUAUAGGUGUUCACGAUAUGGAUUAUGUAGAAGCUCAGGAAAAUUAUGGUAUAGAAGAAGAAAAUGAAGUAAAUGUGGUUAAUUAAGACGAAGAUAAUGAAAAAAUUGCUAAGACACCCGCAGUAGGAAAUGCUAACGUUAGAUCUGAAUCGGUUAAUCUCCCUCCCCAUGCCCUAAGACCUCGUAAAAAAACUAGUGUUGCAUGACAAUUUUUUGAACGUAUAUCAGCUAUAGAGGUGCAAUGCAAUAUUUGUCAACAAAUAUAUAAGUAUAAAAGUAGAGGCAAGCAAGGGGGUACAGGUACGUUAAUGAGACAUAUAGCUGAAGAUCACAAAAGAGAGUUAAAUAUUGCACUAGGUGGUGGGGCUGUUGGUGGGCCAACGCAAACUAGAAUGGAACCAACAACCGGUCACGUAGCGAAGAAGUAUAAUAAAUUGAGGGACCGGGAAGAAAUAGCUAAAAUGGUAGCUAUGGGUUGUUUGCCUUUUAGUUUUCCAUCUUCUGAUGCCUUUAUUCAUUAUAUACAAGCAAUUUAUAGUCCUAUGUUUAACGAUUUUCCUAGAAUUACUCGUCGGUCUGAUAUUUUUAGACUUCAUUCACAAUAUUGUUUUAAUUUAUCAACAUUGUUAAAAAAAUAUUCAAUGUAGAUUGUCCCUAAAUUCUGAUCUUGGUCGUGCUGUAAAUAAAAAUAAUUAUUUAACCGUUACUUGUCACUGGAUGGAUAGUAAUUUCAUAAUGCAAAAACGUAUUCUUGCUUUUUUAUAUAAUGAAGAUCGUAAACAUACUGGACAAUUUAUUGCGGAUUCUAUUGUUAAAAUUGCCGGAUAUUAUGGUAUUGAAAAAUAAAAUUUUAUGUAUUUUGAUAAUGCUUCUAACAACAAGACUGCUAUGAAAAAUUAAAAUCUACGCUAUCUCCUUCGUUGCCUGAAAUUUUUCAUGUUAACUAUGCAUGUCAUAUAUAUAAUUGAAUUGUAAAAGAUGGUCUUGAGUUUUUUGAGCUUUAUAUUGAAAAAAUUCGUCUUGUUGUUGGUUUUAUUCAAGGAAAUAAUCGUAGAUCGAGAAUUAGAGAAUUUAAAGUUAAAUGUCGAAAAAUGGACUUACACCGAUAUUGAUGCCUGGGGAAAUUGAUACUAGAUGAAAUUCAACGAAUGAUUUUUUAAAAACUUGUUAUAAAUAUAGAAUUCCUAUUACAUUUGCUUUUAACCAACAUUGUGGUUCAUUUGCUGAUUCUACUGAUUGCAUGCUACAUGAUUCUGAUUGGAUUGUAAUUAAUGAUCUUGUUAAGUUUUUAGAAAAAUUUUAUGUAGCUACAGUUGAAUUUUUCGGUGCUUAUUAUCCUACUGUUUGUAAUAUUUUGGCAUAUCUAGCCGAUAUUUCUGGUUUUCUCAGCGAAUAUAAAAAUAAAGAAGGUUAUAAAGAAGCUGUUGGUUCCAUGUUUACAAAAUUUAAAAAAUAUUUUUUCCCGAUUCCCCUUAUUUAGUUGGUUGGUGAUAUGCUAAAUCCGUGUAUGAAAUAUAAUAAUAUGUGUCACUUUAGUACUCUUAUUUAUACUAACUUAGAAAUAAAUACUAACUAUGAUUCUGAACAAGUACAACCUGAUUUGUGGACGGCUACAGCUAAUGCAAAGGAUUACAUAGAAAAAUUAUAUAAUCACUAUAAUGAUUUAUUUGAUUUAGCCGUACCUAUAAAUAUCACUUCAACUGUAGCUCCUCAUUCUCCUGAGGAACCACCAUCUUUUAAAAGGCUGGCAUAUAGUGGUUUUCCUAUUCGUUGUAUGAUUUAAAUUGUUGGAACAGCAUUGAUAAGAGAACUUAAACAUCAACUUAUCGGGAAGAGCUGAAAUAUUUUCUUCGGUCUGCACCAGUGGAUCGCAGACGAUAGAUCAACAUGUUGGAUUGGUGGAGGAGUAAUGAAACACAAUAUCUGGUGCUUUCAAGAUUAGGUAGAGAUAUUUUGAAUGUUCCAAUGUCAACCGUUGCAUCAGAGAGCACCUUUAGUUAGGGACGAAAGCAGCUUGGAGACAAACGACACUCAUUGGGAAGCAAUGCAAUAAAUGUUCUAGGUUGCCUCAGAGAUUGGAUUAGAGCGGAAACAAGAAAUCAAGGAAUAGAACCGGAGCCGAGUGACGAGCUGAAACUUGAAGAAAUUAUGACUUCAUGGGAGAACUCAGCAUAAUCAAGUCCAAUAAAUGGUUUUGCCCCCGUUGACUUCGACUAUCCUAUGCAAGUUCCGGUUAAUAUUAACAUGAAUGAGUUGGAAAAAAUGAUGCAUAAUUUAUAGAUUUUUCAUUCAUGUAAAUUAUAAAUUUUGGAUCAUUUUGCAAUCAAUAAAAUUCCCCAAAUUCAUUCACUCCUUAGUCCUUNNNNNNNNNNNNNNNNNNNNAAUUAGUAUAUAAGUAUAUCUAUAUAUAUUCUAAUGUAUAUAUAUUGUAGCAUAUUUUAUAAGUAGUAUUAAAUAUACAUUGAAUGGUGCGUAUACACGUGUAUACAUCUUUUAAAGAAGUGUAUAUUUAACAUAUAUAUGUGUAUAUAUUUUAUAAAUUAGUAUAUAGCUAUGUUUAUAUAUAUUGUAAUGUAUAUAUAAUGUAGUAUAUUUUAUAAUUAGUAGUAUAUAUACAUUGAAUGGUGCGUAUACACGUGUAUAUAUCUUCUAUAGAAGUGUAUAUUUAAUGUAUACAUAUGUAUAUGUUUUAUAAAUCAAUAUAUAACUAUAUCUAUAUAUAAUAUAAUGUAUAUAUAUUGUAGUAUAUUUUAUAAGUAGUAGUAUAUAUACGUUGAAUGGUGCGUAUAUGCAUGUUUACAUCUUUUAUAGAAGUGUAUAUUUAACGUAUACAAGUGUAUAUGUUUUAUAAAUUUGUAUAUAACUAUAUCUAUAUACAUUGUAAUGUAUAUAUAAUGUAGUAUAUUUUAUAAGUAGUAGUAUAAAUACAUUGAAUGGUGCAUAUACAUGUGUAUUUAUCUUCUAUAGAAGUAUAUAUUUAACGUAUACAUGUGUAUAUGUUUUAUAAAUUAGUAUAUAACUAUAUCUAUAUAUAUAUUGUAAUGUAUAUAUACUGUAGUAUAUUUUAUAAGUGGUAGUAUAUAUACACCGAAUGGUGCAUAUACACGUGUAUAUAUCUUGUAUAUUUAACGCAUAAAUGUGCAUAUGUUUUAUGAAUUAGUAUAUAAGUAUAUCUAUAUAUAUUGUAAUGUAUAUAUUGUAAUAUAUUUUAUAAGUAAUGAUAUAUAUACAUUAAAUGGUGCAUAUAUAUGAGUAAUUGACUAGUUGUGUAUAUGUGUAUAUAUUUUUAAAUUCUAAUGUAGUAUAUACUAUAUAUAGUGUAUAUAUAUUAUUUAACGUAUUUAUAAUGUAUUUAGGUGGAUAUAUGUAAUGUAUAUUGAAAGAAAGUUUUUUUUUAAUAUUUUUGACCGAGUUUGACCAAUUUUUUAAUAGAGUUUGAUCGGGUUUUUAUGGGUUUGACCGGGUUGGGUUAAGUGGAUCGAGUUAGGGUGGGUUUUAAUUUUUUUACUGUUGGUCUUGGCCCGGCCCGGCCCAUCUAGCGCCGAAACCGGCCCUUCACCCGAUUAAAAUAGAAGGGCAGGUUCUGUGUUGCCCGGCCCGGCCUGUUUGACACCCCUGCUCAAAAGUUCUUAAUUAGAGAGAAAAGUUAUUCUUCCCACUGGUAUGGUGAAGUUUGCUUCUAUGUUUGUAUAAUAAGUCAGCUAUAAUUUUGGCCUCUAUGCAACUGAUACAAGAACGACCUAUGAAGUGCUAAAACAACCCUCAAAAUGGCACAAAGUAGUCCACUAUCAUGAGAUGAACAAUCAAUACAAAAUGGAAAACAAGAUGACUAUAACUAAGAGGAUAGAUAGUGAUAAAUAAUAUAUGCCACGUUAUAGGCAAUAAUAUGUAUAUUAAACAUCAAAAGACAAACAACAUGAAUACAAGACACCUACACUCUUACGGAGACCUCGAGGGAAUCGAAACUCCCAAGCAACCACCGUUUCUGAGCAAGUUAACAACACAAGGAUUCCACCUUGACAAACAUUCUCAAUGAUUUUACAAGAUAUAUCAUCAAAGUUCUAAAUGACAAAAUGACCUAAAUAUUCUAUUUAAAGAUUAGGGCAACACUUAUUACAAAAAUAACCAAAAGGCCCUUAAUGAGCCCAAACAAAGGGGUCGCCUUGUAGUGUACUCCUUGGACAGUUUUGGAGUGUUGGGACUUGUUCUCAAUGCUUCAAAGAUUGUUCCUUGGAUGGGCAGCCCCACAAGCUCAGGUGUUCACUCAUGUUUUCAUGUCCUCGAGUGCUAAGAUGGCUCUUUGACCUGUAUCAUCUUCUUCUCGUUAAAAAGGAUUCGUCCUCCAAUCCAAACCUUGCAAAAUAAUAGAAAAGAUAAGAAAACAAGUUCCUCAAGGUAUGAGGGUUAGGAUUAGUGUAAUCAGUCAUAGCAUCUUGCUAAGGUGGCUAAAAUUUCACAUACAACCAAACAUCCCUCUUACCCGAAUACCCUUCCAAGAAAGAAUAAAUUAGGUAACUCAUAUAUGUAUGACAAGAAACAAUGAACAAGAGUUGCUUAUCAAGUGAAAAACUUAGACUCUUCUUGGAACAAAAAAUAGGCUUGAAAGCCGGGAUAGGAAAAACAUACAUUCCAUACACAUUCAAGUCAUUCCAAAAGACAUCAUCACCGUAUUUCAUAUGAUCACCGGGGUCAAAUAGGUGGAGUGUCCAUGGAACGGGUUGGGAACACACUUUCCUACCCCAAUACUACUACAAUUACGAUCAAAUGUUCCCUCUAUACUCGCAUAAUAUACAACAAAAACAAUAAGAGGGUCAUCCUUAGUCAAUUGGCCAACAUGUUCAACAUCAUCAUUUUCACACAUAAGUUGGUCUUCAUGACUUUCAUAAGACAAUGUACUAUCACUUUCCACAAUGGAUUCAAUACUAGGUGGAUAAACUAGUGUAUCCACAAUCUCUAUUUGUACAUUAUCAUCACAAAAUGAAGGCACAUUUGGUUCACCUAAAGACAAACAAUCAUUCACACUUAGUUGGUUAUUAGCCUUAUUCACUAGAGUGCAAGAGUUGGUUUGAUUACCUAGUAGCUCAUGUGGAGCUUGGGCAUUCAAGGGAAUUGGAUUAGGAAAGCUUGGGUGCUCUAUCAAGUUAUCCAACUUCUUAAAAAUAUAGCUCUCUAUCCUUUCUAUUUGUCCCUCCAUUCUAUCCAUUAUUCUUUUCAUUCCUUCCAUUCGUCCUUUCAUUCUCUCCAUUUUCCCUUCAAAAGAUCCCAAGCGGCUAUCCAUGACAUCAAGCUUUGCCAUGAUGGAUUUAAACCAACUAGGCAUUUUACCUCCAUCCACCACUGUACCUAUCAAGAACUACUAAACAAACAACAAAAAAAUAGAAACACAUUAAAGGUUACCAAAAAUCAGUCCACAAUUUAUCUCAAAAUAGUCCGCAAUCUCUGAAGCUCACACUUUUGAAGUAUUCACUUUAUUGAAUUCACAAGUGUUGAUAACUCGCUUAUACUCCAAUGAGGUUACUUGGUCCCAAUUGUGACUCUAGGUCGGAGUAUAUUCUUUUUUGAAAUAACUCAAGAAAUGAUGGUUGAACUUGGACCAAAGAAAAUACUACGACUUAAAAAUGAGAAAAAUACACAAUACAACACUUAACACAAAAGAUAACGUACUAAAAAACUAAUCUACAAGCUAGUAGGUAUUUUCUAGUUUACUAAUUAUCUUGAGAAUAAAAAAAACUGAAACUAAUGGAAACAUGAAAGUGAAACUAGAAUAUUCAAUGUUCUUGAGCUCUUUGAUGAUGUGGCACUUAACUAUUGGACGUUGGAAUGUGGUUGAAGUUGAAAAAUUUUUGUUUCAAGAAACUACUAGUUCAAUUUCAUGUAUGAAAGAGGAGAAUUUCAGCCAGGUAUUGGACAAACAAGGUCUAGACUUCACAUUCAAGACUCAUAAAAUCUUUCACCUACUUUCACCAAAAUGGCAAGACAUCCUUUUGGAGGUCUUGUCCCCUUUUCCUCUUUUGGCUUGUCUACAAAAAAUAAAUUUACUCCCUUUUUGUUAUAAAGACUUUUGGGAGGUCUUUUGUUAUUUUUCCCCUUUGGUAAUGCCUUGAAAGUUUUUUCAAGACUAACAAUAACCCACACUCUCUUCCCUUUAAAUUUGGAUCAAACAACCUCUUACAAGACUUCUUUAACACAACAAAAGAACUCCAACAACAACAACAACAACAAAACUGUCCACUCUUCCCACAACAACUUGAAAUUUUUUUCCUCAAGAACUUGGGUUAGACUCAAAUAGUGUUACAGAGAAAGAAAACUAACACAAAAAACAACAAAGACAACUAAAACAACACCUAAAUCUAGACAAAAAUUCAGCCAAACAACAACAAGACUUCAGCGAAGACAUCAAACCCAUAGAAUAACUUCUUUUUAUGAGAUUUUCGACCUUGGACACUUCUUCUAAUGUUAGGAAACAAAGAUAUGACACUAGAAAAUACAAAACACACAAAAAUCACAAGAGUACUAGGAUUCAAAAUUUGGCCUAAGCACAAAAACGUGGACAGAUUACUAUUUUUGAGUUUUACAACUCUUUUUUUUAUUUUUUGAGUGAACAAUCCCAAGAUUGAUAUUGUGGGAACGAAAUCAGUGAUGACUUCGAUACCAAAUGAUAUAAGAAUGACCUAUGAAGUGCUAAAAUAGCCUAUGAAAUGGCGCAAAAUAGUUUACUAUCACGAGAUAAACAAGCAACACAAAAUGGAAAACAAAAUGAUUAUAACUAAGAGGAUAGAUAGUGAGACAUAAGGUACACCACGUUAUAUAAAAUAAGAUGUAUAUUAAACAUCGAAACACAAAAAACAUGAAUACAAGACACCUACACUCUUACGGAGACCUCAAGGGAAUCGGAACUCCCAAGCAACCACCGUUGCUAAGCAAGUUAACAACACAAGGAUUCCACCUUGCCAAACACUUUCAAUAAGUUUACAAAUAUAUCAUCAAAAUUCAAAAUGAUAAAAUGACCAAAAUGUUCUAUUUAUAGACUAGGGCAACACUUAUUACAAAAAUAACCAAAAGGCCCUUAAUGAGCCCAAACAAAGGGGUGGCCUUGUAGUGUACUCCUUGGACGAUUUUGGAGUGUUGGAACUUGUUCUCAACACUUCAAAGCUUUUUUAUUGGAUGGGAAGCCCCACAAGAUCGGGUCCUCACGUCUUCACGUCCUCGAGUGCUAAAAUGGCUUUUUGACCCGUAUCAGUAACAAUAUUAAAUAGUAACUUGGAUGAGUUGACAUAUGCCUUGGGUUUUCUUGAUAAUGAUGAUGUAAUCUUGAUGGAGUGUGUCUUUGUCCCGAAAGCAUGCUGAUCAUGAGCAGAAAGUCCAAUUUCAAAAUAAUAUACAUGUAAUUAUAUUGAAUACACCAUGAAAUAUUAAAAGUAGAGGCUAGCAGUUUUAUUUAUUGAAGUAUAGAAUUGGAGCCUUUUGACAAAGGACAUAAUUGAAUCACCAUUUCUAUUCCUAAUAGUACUACCAAUGCCAGCUAGCUGGUUAACAUAGUUUCUUCUGUCAUCAGCAUUUACCUUAAUUCAAUUAUUUGAAGGUUUGAUCCAAGUGACAAAAUAAAAGUGAAAACAAGUUUAUAUUUAUCUAAGGGAAAAGAUUUUGCCAGUACCAUUUGAAAUGCACCUCAACCCCUAUAUUACUCAUGUGAGAUUUAAUAUUGAAAAACACUUUGUAACUGGAUGAAGAAUUUUUACCAGAUCUAGAGGCACAUCUAGCUUUCAAAAUUACCCAAUAGAUAUAAAUAAGAAGAAUUUGAUGUAAAUUUUUGUCAAAUUGCUACAAAAAUUCAUAGAAUUUUUUAGGAACUCCCAGNNNNNNNNNNNNNNNNNNNNNNNNNNNNNNGAAGAGCACUAUGCAGUGAACACUUUAUGGUAACUUACUUAUUGUUCAAUUGGUGGAAAACAACAUUAGAGAUUUAACCAUUACUAGUCAAACCCCAUUCGACAAGCUCAAGACUAAGCGAUAGAUAAAGGCUGGAUUCGAUCCUAGAUUUCCAUAUGGCACUUAGAGAUGCACCAAGAUUAGCAAAGUAGUAAUUCCACACAACUUUGACUAUCACUCUUUCAAGGGAAAAGAUGGUUGAUGGUCUCUUCCUUCUAAUUCUUACUAUAAAAACAUAGUGACACAUUUUGGAUACCAAAUCUAGAUAUGAUGUUAUAAAUAGGGAUUUUCCGAUUUAAAAUUCACCAAAGAGUGAAGGACAUUUUAAAGGAACAUACCUAGUCCAAGUGUGAGUAUGGAUAUAGCUUAUUGUUGAGAUGAACAAGUAAACAUGAGCUUUAGUUUAAGGAAGCCACAGUUAGUAUAAUUAGUUAAUUACUAUUUAUAGCUAACUAAAAAAGUUAGUUAUAGUCCCGAAGGUUGUUGAGACCAGAAGCUUCUUAGCUCAUGUAUUUAUAUCAAGAUUCUACAUAAUAUCGAAAAGUAUUGAAUACAAUCAAUAUAUAUUUUAACCUCUUAAUCAGUUACUCAUACUCUUUCUCUCUCUGAGAAUUUUGUGAUUACCUUCUUGAUUCGAGCCACAAUCAGUUGUAUAUUUUAACCAUUUAAAGUGAAAUUUCUCAUCAAUUCUCUGAAGAAUGGAAUCUGAAAAUGCUUCUGGAGAUAAAGAAAGCAGGAGUCAGGACUGCAACCUCCAACACUACUCAGGCUUUGGAUCACAAUCGUCUAUUAUACUUGCACUCCACUGAUGUAGGUGGUAUUUCUUUGAUCUCUCUACAACUUACUAGUUCUACAAACUACUCUUUAUAGAGUAAGUAUAUUAGAAUUGAUCUACUGGGUAGAAAUAAGCUAGAAUUUGUCGAUGGUUCUUGGAAGAAAUAAAGUUUGUAGAGCUCAAUGAAAAUUUAAAUGUAAUUUUUAAUAUUUUAAUCUUCAUUUUCUUCAAAGGCGGAGAGGGACAUCCCUCACUAAAAUAUGAUGAUAGUAAUUAAUUAAUAUUAAAUUAUUGUAGCGAGAGAUUUCGAUCCCUCGCUAAAUAAUAACAAAUAAAUUCAUAUUUCAAAUAAAAUUUAAAUAUAAUUUAUAAUUUUUUUUUAGCUGGUAAUAAAAAAUUAGUAAAAAAUAAAUGAAAAUAAAAUUUAAGUAACCCAAGGAGUCCUUAAUAUGAUACAUAUAACAAUUUUGUGAUUUUUUUUCAUUGUCGUGAGGAAAGUAUCUAGCUAUAUUAAAUAUGUUAACUUGAGUAUUUAAUUAACAACCCUAGUAUAGAUUUGUAGAAAAAUAAUAACAAUGUUAUCGACUGUUUGAUCCCUCAAUAAUUGCUUUAAAACUUUUUUUCUUUUCAUACUACUAAAUUUAAUUAUUUUUCUACAAAUAACAAAUGUGUAUAUAUAUAUAUAUAUGUUGUUCGCAAACAGGGUGUGCAUGAGGAAUUUUUUCUCACUUAAUCAGUGAAAUAACCAUCAUCAUACCACUAUUAUGGAUCAUCAUCACUAUCCACAUAUGAAUAGUCAUGGAUAGACCAUUGUUCUUUUACAAGAUGAUCUAUAAUUUUUUCAAGAUUUUUUUCUUCUAAAUCUUUAUUUAAUUUUAGCACCUUUAAAAUGGUGAUCAAUGUUUUUUCAUCUAGAAAAAUAGUGUAAUAACUCUUUAGGCAGUAUAAAGAACAUAUUUCUUUAUCUUAGUUUUCUAUUUUUUUUAACAGAAAAACCUGUGUGUUUUUUAGAGCAUGAUU
Molecule: long non-coding RNA, 17807 nt
Filed under: Capsicum annuum
Lineage: Eukaryota; Viridiplantae; Streptophyta; Magnoliopsida; Solanales; Solanaceae
Description: long non-coding RNA (CANN_LNC006542)
Source: RNAcentral